AUGACUGCUCCACUGCUGAAACUUUAAAGAGCAGUAGUUGACUAGGAGAUCUCAUCUGAUGCUGUUUCUUUCCCUUCAGACGCUCAGGCUAUGGCUUACUCACAUCUCCUCGUGGCAACUUUAAUUCUACUGCUGCUUAAAGAAUCCUAUGGUGAGAUCAUAAUGACUCAGCCAUCCUCUAGUGUCUCUGCUCAGCCAGGAGAAACAGUCAAAAUCCACUGUAAAGCCAGCAGCUCUAUUACUAGUAGCUAUAAAUAUCUCAACUGGUACCAGCAGAAACUUGGAGAAGCUCCUAAGCUCCUGAUAUACCGGGCAUCCUACCUGCAGUCUGGGAUUUCCAGUCGAUUCAGUGGCAGUGGCUCUGAACUUGAUUAUACACUGACCAUUAGUGACAUACAACCAGAAGAUGCAGGACAUUACUACUGCAAUCAGGGUUGGAAAAGCCCUUUCACACAGUGA
This is a non-coding RNA of Polypterus senegalus (gray bichir), 459 nucleotides long. The record is from the annotation of a RefSeq genome assembly. NCBI's taxonomy places the organism in Eukaryota, Metazoa, Chordata, Cladistia, Polypteriformes, Polypteridae.